UCUUCCGUAGUAUAGUGGUCAGUAUAUGAGCUUGUCACCGCCACCCUUCAAGGACCGAAGACUAUCGCUCGGGACCCGGGUUCAAUUCCCGGCGGGAGAG
This is a non-coding RNA of Apodospora peruviana, 100 nucleotides long. Lineage: Eukaryota; Fungi; Ascomycota; Sordariomycetes; Sordariales; Lasiosphaeriaceae. The record is from the annotation of a GenBank genome assembly.